AACAGGAUUAGAUACCCUGGUAGUCCACGCCGUAAACGAUGUCGACUUGGAGGUUGUGCCCUUGAGGCGUGGCUUCCGGAGCUAACGCGUUAAGUCGACCGCCUGGGGAGUACGGCCGCAAGGUUAAAACUCAAACGAAUUGACGGGGGCCCGCACAAGCGGUGGAGCAUGUGGUUUAAUUCGAUGCAGCGCGAAGAACCUUACCUACUCUUGACAUCCAGAGAACUUAGCAGAGAUGCUUUGGUGCCUUCGGGAACUCUGAGACAGGUGCUGCAUGGCUGUCGUCAGCUCGUGUUGUGAAAUGUUGGGUUAAGUCCCGCAACGAGCGCAACCCUUAUCCUUUGUUGCCAGCGGUUAGGCCGGGAACUCAAAGGAGACUGCCAGUGAUAAACUGGAGGAAGGUGGGGAUGACGUCAAGUCAUCAUGGCCCUUACGAGUAGGGCUACACACGUGCUACAAUGGCGCAUACAAAGAGAAGCGACCUCGCGAGAGCAAGCGGACCUCAUAAAGUGCGUCGUAGUCCGGAUUGGAGUCUGCAACUCGACUCCAUGAAGUCGGAAUCGCUAGUAAUCGUGGAUCAGAAUGCCACGGUGAAUACGUUUCCGGGCCUUGUACACACCGCCCGUCACACCAUGGGAGUGGGUUGCAAAAGAAGUAGGUAGCUUAACCUUCGGGAGGGCGCUUACCACUUUGUGAUUCAUGACUGGGGUGAAGUCGUAACAAGGUAACC
Molecule: ribosomal RNA, 730 nt
Filed under: uncultured bacterium
Lineage: Bacteria
Description: bacterial SSU rRNA
Rfam family: Bacterial small subunit ribosomal RNA
Source: RNAcentral